GAUGAACGCUGGCGGCGUGCCUAAUACAUGCAAGUCGAGCGAACGGACGAGAAGCUUGCUUUUCUGAUGUUAGCGGCGGACGGGUGAGUAACACGUGGAUAACCUACCUAUAAGACUGGGAUAACUUCGGGAAACCUGAGCUAAUACCGGAUAAUAUUUUGAACCGCAUGGUUCAAAAGUGAAAGACGGUCUUGCUGUCACUUAUAGAUGGAUCCGCGCUGCAUUAGCUAGUUGGUAAGGUAACGGCUUACCAAGGCAACGAUGCAUAGCCGACCUGAGAGGGUGAUCGGCCACACUGGAACUGAGACACGGUCCAGACUCCUACGGGAGGCAGCAGUAGGGAAUCUUCCGCAAUGGGCGAAAGCCUGACGGAGCAACGCCGCGUGAGUGAUGAAGGUCUUCGGAUCGUAAAACUCUGUUAUUAGGGAGGAACAUAUGUGUAAGUAACUGUGCACAUCUUGACGGUACCUAAUCAGAAAGCCACGGCUAACUACGUG
This 497-nucleotide ribosomal RNA is filed under the name uncultured bacterium. Its description in RNAcentral is "partial 16S ribosomal RNA". It matches the Rfam family "Bacterial small subunit ribosomal RNA", at positions 28 to 507 of the family's 1533-position model. The record is from RNAcentral.